CGCGUUGUUUCUGUCUAAGAUCUGAUGAUGUUAUUUCUUCCUACAUCUCUUUGUACAACAUUGGGUUAAGUGUGCUCAGCAGCAAAGGGCACCACGUCAUCUAGAAAGAUGCAUUCCGACAGGUGGAAACCUAAUAGCACAGGAGGAUUUUUCCUACCCCAGUGCCCUUCAUCUUGGGAGGAUGACAUCACCAGAUACUGUUAACAAAGACACUGGUGUCCCUAACUUAGCUGCUUCAGCUGCCCGAGACUUGGCUGACUGACUCCAGGGACAGACAACUCCGAAGUCCUGUAUGUUCUUCCUGCCACAUGCCCCUAAGGCCGUGGGUUGCAUUUUGUGAUCUUUCUUUCCCCUAAAAGGUAGCUGUACACUGUCUUCCUUUAAACCACAGUUAAAAAAAUUGUGACAUGUGGGAGGAAGUGUGUACAGUGACAGGCCUUACCCCUCCCCCAGUUCCUGAUCCCAGGGACCACAGAUACGGCUUCAGUUCUCACUGAGGAAUUAAGGCCUCCAAAGAAAUUCUAAUUUGCAGUGCCUUUGGCUUGGCUCUUGACUUAAGAAUCCCUAUCUUUGGGACAGGCUUACCUGUUAGGUCCUUUCCCCAUUACACUAUUGGAGUGGCUCUUAUGAGCUCUAAAUUAUGGCCACCAAGUCUGAGAUUAAGUCAAUUUCCCAGAGACUGGAAUGGCAUACAGUAAAGUUUUACUAUUGGCUUCAGAACUGGCUCUUUUUACAUGUAUCUCAGUGACCGUCAAGGGAGAGAGGGUGAGCGUGUGUGUAUGCGUGAGUAUGUCUAAGGGGGAGGUUGACAUUAUAUUCAAUAUAAUACUUUUUGUGUGGUUAAAAAACAAACCUUUUGAUUUCCUUUCGCAAACCCUAGAAAGUAAAAUUUGACCAAAAUCUUCCUGGCCAUUAGGGAUACGCAAAGGUCUCUUCCUUAAUGUGGAGGACAUUCAGAAUGUGGACAGUGAGAUGUUUAUGGUCUAAUUAUUUAUCAGACAGACCAGAGGCUAUAGGCUCAGUCUCCACUGGUCACAGGUUGCUGCUUUAACUCAGUCAUGCUUUGUGUUUCACAUAGUCUUGCAAUGGAAUUAUUCUCAAUGCUGGGUCAUCUGGAACUCAAUAUUUCUCACCAAUAGCCACCACUUUUCUGCUAUAUUGAACAACACAGUCUAUGGCCUGAAUGGCUGUGCUCCCUACCAAAUGUAUAUGUUGAAAUCCUAACCUUCAAAGGCAAAGUUAGUAGGUGGGGCCUUGGGAGGUGAUUAGUUUGUGGGGAUGGGGCCCUUCUGAAUAGGACUAUUGCUCUUAGAAAAGCACAAAGGGGAGUUCCUGCUGUGGUGCAACAGGACCAGUGGCAUCUCUGCAGCACCAGGAUGCAGGCUUGAUGCCUGGCCCGGCACAGCGAGUUAAAGGAUCUGGCACUGCCACAGCUGCAGGGUAGGUCACAAUUUCGGCUUACAUCUGACUGCUGGCCUGGGAACUCCAUAUGCUGUGUGGUAGCAAAAAAUGAAAAAAAGGAGUUCCCAUGGUGGCUCAGCAGUAACAAACCUGACUAGUAUGCAUGAGGACACAGGUUUGAUCUCUGGCCUUGCUCAAUGGGUUAAGGAUCUGGCAUUGCCAUGAGCUGUGGUGUAUGUCGCAGACGUGGCUUGGAUAUGGCGUUUCUGUGGUUGUGGUAUAGGCCGACGGCUACAGCUCUGAUUCAACCACUAGCCUCGGAAACUCCACAUACUGCAGAUGUGGCCUAAAACACACACACACACACACACACACACACAAAGACAGUGAAGGAAAUACUGUCCUGCACAUUUUUUUUUUUUUUUUUUUUUUUGGCUGUGCCUGUGGCAUGUGGAAGUUCCCGGGCCAAGGACUGAACCUGUUCCACAGCAGUGAUAAUGCUGGAUCUUAACCUGCUAUGCCACAGGAAACUCCCAGUCCUGUACACUCUAGAUGCUAUAAGAACAGCAAAGGAAGAACUGGUUGUCAGAGGAGCAACUAUGAGCAUUCAGCACAGUCUUUGCAGUAGGGCUGUUCACAAGGAAAACAUGAGAUGCUGGAGUUCUGCUCCUUUUAACUCCACCCUCUCCCCCCAGCCCCCACCAAGGUGUCCAAAGGUGAGCAGCAUGAAGAGGGGCAUACAAAUGCACAGGUAAUCCGUCUGCGUUUUCCACAGCUCGCAGUAGUAAAGAUCUAUGACGAAAUUAUCUCACUCUCACAGGAACCCAAGCGCAGUCGCCCCUCUGC
This 2247-nucleotide long non-coding RNA is filed under the name Sus scrofa (pig). RNAcentral's name for it is "lncRNA (ENSSSCG00050015047.1)". The record is from RNAcentral. Lineage: Eukaryota; Metazoa; Chordata; Mammalia; Artiodactyla; Suidae.